CAGUUAUCGUUUANUUGAUAGUACCUCUUACCUGGAUAACUGUGGUAAUUCUAGAGCUAAUACAUGCUAAAAACCCCGACUUUCGAAGGGGUGUAUUUAUUAGAUUAAAAACCAAUGCCCUUCGGGGUUAAAAGGUGAUUCAUGAUAACUAAACGAAUCGCAUGGCCUUGCGCCGGCGAUGGUUCAUUCAAGCUUCCGCCCUAUCAGCUAGUCUCGAGGGUAUUGUCCUCUAGUGGCUUCUACGGGUAACGGGGAAUUAGGGUUCUAUUCCGGAGAGGGAGCCUGAGAAACGGCUACCACAUCCAAGGAAGGCAGCAGGCGCGCAAAUUACCCAAUCCCGACACGGGGAGGUAGUGACAAGAAAUACUGAAUCUUGGCCCUUUCGGGUCUGGAUAUCGGAAUGAGUACAGUUUAAAAACCUUAACGAGAACCAAUUGGAGGGCAAGUCUGGUGCCAGCAGCCGCGGUAAUUCCAGCUCCAAUAGCGUAUAUUAAAGUUGUUGCAGUUAAAAAGCUCGUAGUUGAACUUUGGGCUUGGCUGUCCGGUCCGCCUCACGGCGUGUACUGGUUCGGCCGGGCCUUUCCUCCUGGGGAGCGGCAUGCCCUUUACUGGGCGUGUCCGCGAGCCAGGGCUUUUACUUUGAAAAAAUUAGAGUGUUCAAAGCAGGCAUAUGCUCGAAUACAUUAGCAUGGAAUAAUAGAACAGGACGUGCGUUCUGAUUUUGUUGGUUUCUCGGGACGCCGUAAUGAUUAAUAGGGACGGUCGGGGGCAUCGGUAUUCGAUUGUCAGAGGUGAAAUUCUUGGAUUUAUCGAAGACCAACUGCUGCGAAAGCGUUUGCCAAGGACGUUUUCAUUAAUCAGUGAACGAAAGUUAGGGGAUCGAAGACGAUCAGAUACCGUCGUAGUCUUAACCAUAAACUAUGCCGACUAGGGAUCGGGCCGUGUUAUGUUUUUGACCGGCUCGGCACCUUACGAGAAAUCAAAGUUUUUGGGUUCUGGGGGGAGUAUGGUCGCAAGGCUGAAACUUAAAGAAAUUGACGGAAAGGCACCACCAGGCGUGGAGCCUGCGGCUUAAUUUGACUCAACACGGGAAAUCUCACCAGGUCCAGACACAGUAAGGAUUGACAGAUUGAGAGCUCUUUCUUGAUUUUGUGGUUGGUGGU
This 1163-nucleotide ribosomal RNA is filed under the name Coenogonium luteum. Its description in RNAcentral is "SSU rRNA". It matches the Rfam family "Eukaryotic small subunit ribosomal RNA", at positions 107 to 1281 of the family's 1831-position model. Lineage: Eukaryota; Fungi; Ascomycota; Lecanoromycetes; Ostropales; Coenogoniaceae. The record is from RNAcentral.